This 72-nucleotide transfer RNA is filed under the name Sus scrofa (pig). It matches the Rfam family "tRNA". Rfam says of the family: Transfer RNA (tRNA) molecules are approximately 80 nucleotides in length. Their secondary structure includes four short double-helical elements and three loops (D, anti-codon, and T loops). Lineage: Eukaryota; Metazoa; Chordata; Mammalia; Artiodactyla; Suidae. The record is from Rfam by way of RNAcentral.
UCCCUAGUGGUCUAGUGGUUAAGAUUCAGCGCUUUCAUGACUAUGGCCCUGGUUCAAUUCCUGGUUGGAGAA